Small nucleolar RNA from Tachyglossus aculeatus (Australian echidna), 137 nucleotides. The record is from RefSeq and is a predicted model, not a curated record. NCBI's taxonomy places the organism in Eukaryota, Metazoa, Chordata, Mammalia, Monotremata, Tachyglossidae.
CCCCUCUCAGGGUUGCACCUGGAGAGUUUCCAGUACUCUACCAGUCUCAGCUAUGGGAGGGAGAGUCAAGCAGAGGUCUACCGUUCCAUUCCUAGCUUGGGCAGUGGCUAGGGAGUGGGUUGCAAUCUGCUACAAGU